Callithrix jacchus (white-tufted-ear marmoset) is the source of this 282-nucleotide unclassified non-coding RNA. It matches the Rfam family "Metazoan signal recognition particle RNA". Rfam says of the family: The signal recognition particle (SRP) is a universally conserved ribonucleoprotein. The record is from Ensembl. Lineage: Eukaryota; Metazoa; Chordata; Mammalia; Primates; Cebidae.
GCCACUGUAGUCCCAGCUACUCGGGAGGCUGAGGUGGGAGGAUUGCUUGAGCCCAGGAGUUCUGGGCUGUAGUGCACUAUGCCGAUUGGGUGUCCACACUAAAUUCGGCAUUAAUAUGGUGACCUCCCAGGAGCAGGGGAUCCCAAGUUGCCUAAGGAGGGGUGAACUGGCCCAGGUCAGAAAUGGAGCCGGUCAAAACUCCCAUGCUGCUCAGUAGUGGGAUUGCACCUGUGAACAGCCACUGCACUCCAGCCUGGGCAACAUAGCAAGACCCUGUCUCUA